UACGUAGGGUGCGAGCGUUAAUCGGAAUUACUGGGCGUAAAGCGUGCGCAGGCGGUUCGUCGUGUCCGAUGUGAAAGCCCCGGGCUCAACCUGGGAAUGGCAUUGGAAACUGGCGGACUCGAGUGUGGCAGAGGGGGGUGGAAUUCCGGGUGUAGUGGUGAAAUGCGUAGAGAUCCGGAGGAACACCAGUGGCGAAGGCGACACGCUGGGCCAUACCUGACGCUAAAGCGCGACAGCAUGGGGAGCAAACGGG
RNAcentral lists this ribosomal RNA (253 nucleotides) under uncultured bacterium. RNAcentral describes it as "partial 16S ribosomal RNA". It matches the Rfam family "Bacterial small subunit ribosomal RNA", at positions 524 to 776 of the family's 1533-position model. The record is from RNAcentral.